RNAcentral lists this unclassified non-coding RNA (377 nucleotides) under uncultured Acidobacteriota bacterium. Its description in RNAcentral is "uncultured Acidobacteria bacterium contains 16S-23S intergenic spacer region". The record is from RNAcentral. Lineage: Bacteria; Pseudomonadati; Acidobacteriota.
UCCGGUUUAUCACCGGCAGUCCCCCUAGAGUUCCCGGCCGAACCGCUGGCAACUAAGGGUAGGGGUUGCGCCCGUUGCGGGACUUAACCCAACAUCUCACGACACGAGCUGACGACAGCCAUGCAGCACCUUCACGACGGCCCCGAAGGGAAAAUCCUAUUCCUAGGACGGUCCGCCGUUGUCUAGCCCAGGUAAGGUUCUUCGCGUUGCGUCGAAUUGAACCACAUGCUCCACCGCUUGUGCGGGCCCCCGUCAAUUCCUUUGAGUUUCAGUCUUGCGACCGUACUCCCCAGGCGGAGUGCUUAAUGUGUUGACUUCGGCACAGCAGGGGUCGAUACCCGCUACACCAAGCACUCAUCGUUUACGGCGUGGACUAC